AGAGUUUGAUCCUGGCUCAGAACGUACGCUGGCGGCACGCCUAAUACAUGCAAGUCGAACGAAGUAGCAAUACUUAGUGGCAGACGGGUGAGUAACAUGUAGGUAUCUACCCUUUGGUCUGGAAUAACACGAGGAAACUUGUGCUAAUACCGGAUAAGUCUUUACGGAGAAAGCUUUAUGCACCAUUGGAUGAGCCUGCACUUGAUUAGUUUGUUGGUGGGGUAAUGGCCUACCAAGACAAUGAUCAAUAGCUGAUUUGAGAGGAUGAUCAGCCACAUUGGGACUGAGACACGGCCCAAACUCCUACGGGAGGCAGCAGUAGGGAAUCUUGCACAAUGGAGGAAACUCUGAUGCAGCGAUGCCGCGUGAGUGAAGAAGGCCUUUGGGUUGUAAAGCUCUUUCGUCGGGGAAGAAAAUGACUGUACCCGAAUAAGAAGGUCCGGCUAACUUCGUGCCAGCAGCCGCGGUAAUACGAAGGGACCUAGCGUAGUUCGGAAUUACUGGGCUUAAAGAGUUCGUAGGUGGUUAAAAAAGUUGGUGGUGAAAUCCCAGAGCUUAACUCUGGAACUGCCAUCAAAACUUUUUAGCUAGAGUAUGGUAGAGGAAAGCAGAAUUUCUAGUGUAGAGGUGAAAUUCGUAGAUAUUAGAAAGAAUACCAAUUGCGAAGGCAGCUUUCUGGAUCAUUACUGACACUGAGGAACGAAAGCAUGGGUAGCGAAGAGGAUUAGAUACCCUCGUAGUCCAUGCCGUAAACGAUGUGUGUUAGACGUUGGAAAUUUAUUUUCAGUGUCGCAGCGAAAGCGAUAAACACACCGCCUGGGGAGUACGACCGCAAGGUUAAAACUCAAAUGAAUUGACGGGGACCCGCACAAGUAGUGGAGCAUGUGGUUUAAUUCGAAGAUACGCGCAGAACCUUACCAACACUUGACAUGUUCGUCGCGACUCUAAGAGAUUAGAGUUUUCGGUUCGGCCGGACGAAACACAGGUGCUGCAUGGCUGUCGUCAGCUCGUGUCGUGAGAUGUUGGGUUAAGUCCCGCAACGAGCGCAACCCUUACUUUUAGUUGCCACCAUUUAGUUGGGCACUCUGAAAGAACUGCCAGUGAUAAGCUGGAGGAAGGUGGGGAUGACGUCAAGUCCUCAUGGCCCUUAUGUGUUGGGCUACACACGUGCUACAAUGGCAUUUACAACAGGAAGCAAGAUGGCGACAUUAAGCAAAUCCUAAAAAAAUGCCUCAGUUCGGAUUGUACUCUGCAACUCGAGUACAUGAAGCUGGAAUUACUAGUAAUCGUGGAUCAGCGUGCCACGGUGAAUACGUUCCCGGGUCUUGUACACACCGCCCGUCACACCAUGGGAGUUGGUUCUACCUUAAGGCAAGGUUUAAUACCCUUGACCACGGUAUAGUCAGCGACUGGGGUGAAGUCGUAACAAGGUAACC
RNAcentral lists this ribosomal RNA (1436 nucleotides) under uncultured bacterium. RNAcentral describes it as "bacterial SSU rRNA". It matches the Rfam family "Bacterial small subunit ribosomal RNA". The record is from RNAcentral.